AACGAAAUGCGAUAAGUAAUAUUACUGCCAGACUCCAGUCAAUCAUCGUUUCUUUGCGUUCUUCAUGCGCUCCAGAGCCAACGAGGAGCAUGCCGAAAGUAGUAUCAAAGUAUUCACAAUCCCCUAGGUCUUUUGUAAGACUCUUAUAAUAUUGGUCUUGGAGGCGAUCACCGGCAACUCACAGGACACAGGCCUCUCAAAUGCAUCAGAUUGAAUGAAAGGUGCACAGAGGUGUGAAAAUUAUCUGCACUGUGUGUGAGUGCCAUAAAUUCAGGCCACCCUGUGUCACAAGACAACUCAUAAGCUUCUGAC
RNAcentral lists this ribosomal RNA (312 nucleotides) under fungal sp. RNAcentral's name for it is "eukaryotic LSU rRNA". The record is from RNAcentral. Lineage: Eukaryota; Fungi.